AAACUUAAAGGAAUUGACGGAAGGGCACCACCAGGAGUGGAGCCUGCGGCUUAAUUUGACUCAACACGGGGAAACUCACCAGGUCCAGACACAAUAAGGAUUGACAGAUUGAGAGCUCUUUCUUGAUUUUGUGGGUGGUGGUGCAUGGCCGUUCUUAGUUGGUGGAGUGAUUUGUCCGCUUAAUUGCGAUAACGAACGAGACCUUAACCUACUAAAUAGUGCUGCUAGCUUUUGCUGGUAUAGUCACUUCUUAGAGGGACUAUCGAUUUCAAGUCGAUGGAAGUUUGAGGCAAUAACAGGUCUGUGAUGCCCUUAG
Molecule: ribosomal RNA, 316 nt
Filed under: uncultured Saccharomycetes
Lineage: Eukaryota; Fungi; Ascomycota; Saccharomycetes
Description: SSU rRNA
Rfam family: Eukaryotic small subunit ribosomal RNA
Source: RNAcentral